This 226-nucleotide ribosomal RNA is filed under the name uncultured bacterium. Its description in RNAcentral is "partial 16S ribosomal RNA". It matches the Rfam family "Bacterial small subunit ribosomal RNA", at positions 524 to 746 of the family's 1533-position model. The record is from RNAcentral.
UACGUAGGGUCCGAGCGUUGUCCGGAAUUACUGGGCGUAAAGAGCUCGUAGGCGGUCUGUCGCGUCUGCUGUGAAAACUCGGGGCUUAACCCCGGGCCUGCAGUGGGUACGGGCAGACUGAGAGUGCGGUAGGGGAGACUGGAAUUCCGUGGUGUAGCGGUGAAAUGGCGCAGAUAUCAGGAGGAACACCGGUGGCGAAGGCGGGUCUCUGGGCCGUAACUGACGC